RNAcentral lists this ribosomal RNA (893 nucleotides) under uncultured bacterium. Its description in RNAcentral is "bacterial SSU rRNA". It matches the Rfam family "Bacterial small subunit ribosomal RNA", at positions 48 to 934 of the family's 1533-position model. The record is from RNAcentral.
GCUACCAUGCAGUCGAACGGCAGCACAGAGGAGCUUGCUCCUUGGGUGGCGAGUGGCGGACGGGUGAGGAAUACAUCGGAAUCUACUUUUUCGUGGGGGAUAACGUAGGGAAACUUACGCUAAUACCGUAUACGACCUACGGGCGAAAGCAGGGGACCUUCGGGCCCUGCGCGAUUGAAUGAGCCGAUGUCGGAUUAGCUAGUUGGCGGGGUAAAGGCCCACCAAGGCGACGAUCCGUAGCUGGUCUGAGAGGAUGAUCAGCCACACUGGAACUGAGACACGGUCCAGACUCCUACGGGAGGCAGCAGUGGGGAAUAUUGGACAAUGGGCGCAAGCCUGAUCCAGCCAUACCGCGUGGGUGAAGAAGGCCUUCGGGUUGUAAAGCCCUUUUGUUGGGAAAGAAAUCCAGCUGGCUAAUACCCGGUUGGGAUGACGGUACCCAAAGAAUAAGCACCGGCUAACUUCGUGCCAGCAGCCGCGGUAAUACGAAGGGUGCAAGCGUUACUCGGAAUUACUGGGCGUAAAGCGUGCGUAGGUGGUCGUUUAAGUCCGUUGUGAAAGCCCUGGGCUCAACCUGGGAACUGCAGUGGAUACUGGGCGACUAGAGUGUGGUAGAGGGUAGCGGAAUUCCUGGUGUAGCAGUGAAAUGCGUAAGAUCAGGAGGAACAUCCAUGGCGAAGGCAGCUACCUGGACCAACACUGACACUGAGGCACGAAAGCGUGGGGAGCAAACAGGAUUAAUACCCUGGUAGUCCACGCCCUAAACGAUGCGAACUGGAUGUUGGGUGCAAUUUGGCACGCAGUAUCGAAGCUAACGCGUUAAGUUCCCGCCUGGGGAGUACGGUCGCAAGACUGAAACUCAAAGGAAUUGACGGGGGCCCGCACAAGCGGUG